This is a long non-coding RNA of Hibiscus syriacus, 152 nucleotides long. RefSeq lists it as uncharacterized. Lineage: Eukaryota; Viridiplantae; Streptophyta; Magnoliopsida; Malvales; Malvaceae. The record is from RefSeq and is a predicted model, not a curated record. The transcript is spliced from 3 exons.
GGCCCACAUUUGCAAAAAAAAAAUAUAUAUCAUAUGAUGUAACGGAUGAGACUGGAGGGUCCAAUGCUUUAACUUCAGAAGUCAGGGAAGCCUUGAUUGGUGCUAGUUGUAGCCUUCUGCUUGCAGUUGAGGAUAUUUCUCCACAGAAUUUA